Molecule: ribosomal RNA, 502 nt
Filed under: uncultured Glomeromycotina
Lineage: Eukaryota; Fungi; Glomeromycota
Description: partial small subunit ribosomal RNA
Rfam family: Eukaryotic small subunit ribosomal RNA
Source: RNAcentral
CCAAUAGCGUAUAUUAAAGUUGUUGCAGUUAAAAAGCUCGUAGUUGAACUUCGGGGUUUACUCAUUGGUCAGGCUUAAUUGUUUGUACUGGUGAGAUGAAUCUCUACCUUCUGAGGAACUUUCAUGCCAUUUAUUUAGUGUGAUUGGAAAUCAGGACUGUUACUUUGAAAAAAUUAGAGUGUUUAAAGCAGGCUAACGUCUGAAUACAUUAGCAUGGAAUAAUGAAAUAGGACGGCUUGAUUCUAUUUCGUUGGUUUCUAGGAUCACCGUAAUGAUUAAUAGGGAUAGUUGGGGGCAUUAGUAUUCAAUUGUCAGAGGUGAAAUUCUUGGAUUUAUUGAAGACUAACUACUGCGAAAGCAUUUGCCAAGGAUGUUUUCAUUAAUCAAGAACGAAAGUUAGGGGAUCGAAGACGAUCAGAUACCGUCGUAGUCUUAACCAUAAACUAUGCCGACUAGGGAUCGGAUGAUGUUAAUUUUUUAAUGACUCAUUCGGCGCCUUACG